Molecule: non-coding RNA, 208 nt
Filed under: Paracoccus sp. (in: a-proteobacteria)
Lineage: Bacteria; Pseudomonadati; Pseudomonadota; Alphaproteobacteria; Rhodobacterales; Paracoccaceae
Also listed under: 1 other name
Source: RNAcentral
CUAACAUGCCCGCGUAUCGGUGCCCCUUGAUCGGGGCCCAAAAGGGAAUGCGGUGCGGCCCGGAACAUCCGGUGCCAAAUCCGCAGCCGCCCCCGCGACUGUGAGCGGAGAGCGGACGCCCAUCACGCCACUGGCCCGUCAUGGCCGGGAAGGCGGGCGUCAGCUGUGACCCGCAAGCCAGGAGACCUGCCGGUGCAUGAAACCGUAA